Stegostoma tigrinum is the source of this 2961-nucleotide long non-coding RNA. RefSeq lists it as uncharacterized. The transcript is spliced from 2 exons. The record is from RefSeq and is a predicted model, not a curated record. Lineage: Eukaryota; Metazoa; Chordata; Chondrichthyes; Orectolobiformes; Stegostomatidae.
UUGGUGUGGACAUGGUACUGAAACAGUCCAGACCUCCUCCUCAAUCGUCACGUCAUCGCUUGAGUACUGAGAACCUCAGGAUCUCCAUGUGGUCAGGGUAAUGUAGACGGAGCUCUACGCUGUAUCUAACUCCAAGCAGUCCUGGCAUCGCUGAACGUUUGGGGGUGUGGUGUGUGUGUUUUCAGUCUGAGCAUGCUAACUGUGACUAACCCACUGACUAACUCAGCAUGUCUGCCACUCUCAGGGAGGCCCAUACCCAGUCAAUACUAACAUGACCAACAGAGACAGUCCUCGGCCUCUUAGAGAGCUUACCAGGACUAAAGCACUAAUGGGUCCUCGCCAAAGCAUGUGCAUGAAUGACUAGACCAUCUCUGAGCUAACUGGUGAAGAUGCCACUGCCUUUGUGAAUUUCUUUUUUACAUAUAUAUAUAUGUAAAAUAUAUAUAUAUAUUGAUGUGGUAGAGUUUGUGGCAGCACUGUAACCAUUUUGAUUACCCUGUGGGAGCAUCUCAACGUCAAAUGACAGACUCUCUCUUUCUACUUAACAAAUUACAUUUCUCUUUUUUUAUAUAAGAAGAAAAUAUAAAUAUAUAUAUGGAGGUUGGGCCGGAUGGAGGGAGGGGGGUGUGAGUGGGGAGCUCGGGCAGGGCAGAGUGAACUCGCCUCCUUCCGUCAGCCAGGGUCAGGCGGUCCAAGCCCACCACGGUUGGCCUCGUUCCGUGCAGAUUGAGGGAGGCUGCUGCGUUUGGUGUCACCCUGAGGCACAGGAAUCUCUCGAUAUUUGGUCCCCCACCCCCCCCCUCCUCAACACUCCGCUUCCAUUCAGAACGAUCGAGCGUGAUUUUUAUUUUCAACCACCGCUCCCCUCCCCAACUUGCCCGCCAGGGGAGCAGUGGACGCCGUUUACCUUGUGCCUGAAUGAGGGGGUUUUGCAGGGGGCUGUCGGUGGGAAUGGAUGCUGAGGCUUAGCCCACAGGCUUCUGGACGCGUCUGCAGGCUAAAUCGAUCAGUGGGUGUGACGGACUUUCUGGCUGUGCUUUCGACUGGACUUUAAUGGCUCCUGGGGUUUACGCGCUCUCUUUCUGUCCCGUUCUGUCUUGACCAGGGCUUUUGUGAACGUUUGCAGUUAGUUAUCUCUUGUGCUGCAGGACACAAGAACUGAGGCAGUGGGAGAGACCAGCCUGAGGGGCAUCCCGGGGCCGUGUCCCGGGAUUGGGUGUGCCCCAACUCCAUUAAUGUUUGCCUCCUUGUUUACGGUGCCUUAGCUAUGUUCAGGGAGAAGGAAGUCCCUGGCCUGUUGACCUUGGUGCUAAGCUCAUGUGGUUGUGUUAGAUGUGGGUGAAACUUUUUUUUGGGGGGGGGAAUUACAAAACCACACCAGCCCAACCCCCUCUCUACCCUGUACCAGCCCAUCGAACCUCGACUGAGCGUUAUAAAAAAUCACCGGCAAGUGGAGUAGGGCCCUCUCUCUCUUACCGCCCAAAGGAACGGGUGCCCUCCAUCUUAACAAUCAAUGAGACAGCCCCCUCUCGAUGGAAGCCAGGCCCUGACGGAUCGGUGUUUGCUGGGGUGGUCGGGGGGGGGGAAGGUGAUGGUGUAUCGUCUUGGGAUCUUGCUGUGCUUGUUACUGCAGGCGUUACUCAGGUCAGGUAGGCCACAGAGGCGGGACCAAUGCUGCGAUUGUGUUGUCUUCAGAGCUUCUUGUUUCAACCGUUCUCUUUUCAGUCAAAGUUGAUCGCAGACGGGAAUUGAGGGGGAUGGGGUUGGGGUGGGGGAAGAAAAUUACCACUGCAGAUAUUUCGUUUUGUAAAUCUGAGGCCUAAUUACCUUCGCGAUUUGAUUCUCUCCUUUUUUUUAACCUCAAUAAAAAGUAUGUGUUAUUUUUUACAAGCAGACAAUAAAGGCUGUAUUCAGGAGGCGGAAAUGUAAUGUUUCUAGGUGAUUUUUCUUUUGCAAAAAAAAUAAAAUUGUUUUUGAGGGUAGCACAUUUUGUUUUCUCCCCAUCGAUGCUGCUCCAGUUCUUUUAUCUUUCUUCCUCGGCAGGGACUGGGGAUAGAUAAAGGCAGCAGCAGGGCCUGAGGAGCUCGAGUGUCCCGUGAGCAGUGCAGGAAAGGACCAGCCUCCAUUCCUACCUGCACCCCUCACUCUCAUGUGGUAACUGUGUGUCACACGUGCGGUGCAGAUCCGAGCUGGACACAGCGGUUGUAACUGCGCCCCCCCCCCCCCCAAAAAAAAAAAUACACGUUAAGGUUUCGUCCUGGGCCAGAGGCAGCUUUUACACGUGUGACUGUAGCUGGGGGCCUGUUGGCGUUCUCUCAGAUACUUGCCGGUUUGUGAGGAAGGCAGGGUUGCUGCUGUCGCUUUGAACUUUGGAGACAGCCCGGCGUGCCGGAAGGGAACGUCAGUCGGAUUUAGGAACGAUUAGAGCUGGCCCGAUUAGUCUUCCGCACCUGUAGCGGGCCUGGCCUGUCCGCACUGGCAUUGCCUCUUGUGAGGGGGCACGUUCUCGGAAUCCUGCAAUGGAAGACCAGGAUUGGGGGUGGGGGGGAACAUUGGGAAUUUAGAGAGGGGUGUGAGAGAAGCAGGGGAUUGCCCCUUCUGUGUGCCUUAUGUUAGGGGAGGGUAUCGGGUAGCGGUGCGUGCGAGGGGAUAGGAUUAAACGGGUUUGUCUGGGGGAUCGGGACUUGUUGGUGUGGGGAGGAAAGAGAGUGCUGAAACGAUUGCCCCUACCCACCCAGCAACCAACUCUGAAUUUCUCACGGUCGUCUUGAUUAUCUACUCGCCCUCUAACCUUUGGGAAUGUGUAGUCUGGUGGGUAGAUCAAGGCAGGAGGAGAGUGUCUUUUUGCAUUUGCCUCUCUAUCUGCUUCCUGCCAGUCAGCUCUCGGAUCCAAGUUGCUUUUCCUUUUGAAAAUAAAGAACUUUCUCUGUAAAACUGUACAAAUAAAUUUUUUAAAAUGGA